RNAcentral lists this ribosomal RNA (361 nucleotides) under uncultured bacterium. RNAcentral describes it as "partial 16S ribosomal RNA". It matches the Rfam family "Bacterial small subunit ribosomal RNA", at positions 338 to 696 of the family's 1533-position model. The record is from RNAcentral.
CCUACGGGAGGCAGCAGUGAGGAAUAUUGGUCAAUGGUCGGGAGACUGAACCAGCCAAGCCGCGUGAGGGAGGAAGGUACAGAGUAUCGUAAACCUCUUUUGUCAGGGAACAAAGGCGGGGACGUGUCCCCGGAUGAGUGUACCUGAAGAAAAAGCAUCGGCUAACUCCGUGCCAGCAGCCGCGGUAAUACGUAGGUGGCAAGCGUUAUCCGGAUUUAUUGGGCUUAAAGGGAGCGCAGGCGGUCUUUUAAGUCUGAGGUGAAAGCCCUGGGCUUAACCCGGGUAGUGCAUUGGAAACUGGGAGACUUGAGUGCAGAAGAGGUAUGUGGAAGGCGAGGUGUAGCGGUGAAAUGCGUAGAUA